Long non-coding RNA from Mirounga angustirostris (Northern elephant seal), 3101 nucleotides. RefSeq lists it as uncharacterized. The record is from RefSeq and is a predicted model, not a curated record. The transcript has 2 exons. NCBI's taxonomy places the organism in Eukaryota, Metazoa, Chordata, Mammalia, Carnivora, Phocidae.
GCGGACUGCGCGGGGGGUGCUGGGAGCCGCGGCCACGCAUGCGCCGCCCGCGACCGCGCGCCGCGGGGUCCGGGAGGCUUCCUCGCGGGCGAGGGGCUGGGGAAGAGGGCUGCGUGGUGGACUCUCGCGAGACGCGCAGCGCAGCGACUCGCCGCUGAGGGACUUUAGGAGUGAGGAGGGGCGCGGAGAAGCUUCGCGGGGCGGAGGGACACAGUCGGAGGCCGAGCAGACAUUUUGCGGGAGAAGAUGGAACAGUGUGGAAAAGGAGAGUGGGAGGCUUCCCUCAGCCGUGGAGUCUGGGAGGCGGGGAGACGUCUCUGAGGUGAAGGACACUACUGGGGAGGCGGCGCAAAGGCCUUUCUGUAGCGGAAAAGGCAGUGGGAGCGGGGACUCCUUUGCCUGGCGGAGGGGUCUGUCGCAGAGGGUGUGGACAUCUCCGGGGCAUCCUCUGAGGGCGGCGACUGUCGCGGACUGCUGCCCUCGCGGAGGGGUUCGGGCCCCGGUGUCUUCCUGUGGGAGCACCUGGGCGACCCCGUCCCGUCCCUUAGGGGGGCGCGGGGCCGCCCCAUCCGUCCCUCAGGAGUUUCGGUGACCACUGCAGAAGGCAGACACAGAGGAUGGGCGAACCGGAAGGAGCAGGAACAGAGGACAAUGCACAGUGCAUUUUAUACUCGAGGUGCUCUUCAUCCGUAAUUGAAAGAAUAGAUAUAUUCAAUAUGUAUAUGUAUGCCUACGUCUAAUCAUCUUUGUAUCUGUAUCUAUACCUGCACCUAGACCUAUGCCUGGACCGUCUACGUCUACAUCUGUCUAUACCUGUAAUUCUCUGUGUUGGAAGGGGCAGUGUUGCCAUGCUGUAUCAUUUGCUAGCAAUGUGACCUAGCAGUGAGAAUGAUGUCAACCAUUGGCUCUCCACACUGGCUGCACAUUAGAAUCACCUCUUGGAGCUUUUGCAAACUGCCGAUGCUUGGGCCCCUCCUACGGAGAUUCUGGUCCUGUGGAUCCAAGAUGACGUCCAACCAUCAGAAUUAAAAAAAAACCGAAACAGAAACGCUCCUCAGAUGAUUUUAAGGUGCCACUGAGUGCCCCUAAAACCUUCUAAGCUUCCACUUCUUUAAGUAAUGAGCAUAAGUGCCCAUUUUGCAGGAUUAGUGAGAUAAUGUAUGUAAGGCUUUUAGCAGAAUUUGGGGCAAAACCACUCUAUACAUGUUAGUUUCAUUGAUAAUUAAUAUUCGGUACUUUAAAAAGCAGCUUUUAUUAUUUUUUUUAAUUACGUGGAGAACAGGUAAACUCAUCCCAGUUAUAAACAGUUCAUAUCGAGUAAAAAGUGAUGGCGAGUAUCCUUACACCUUAUGUGCACAGAGGCAAACACUCUUAGGUUCCCAGGUGUAUCCUUCCUGAAAUUUACCUUUGCCUUUACUUACAAAAACGUUCACCUUUGUGUAAGUCUCUAAUGAUGUAAAUAGAACCAUUUGCAUUGUUUGGUGACUUCCUUUUUUCACUUAGGAAUAGGUCUAUAUAUCUCAGAGAUCUCUCCAUGUCGGUAAAUACAGGUCUGCCUUGUUAUUUUAACGAUUACAUCCAUCACAUGAACAGUGGAAGCACCAUAAGUUACUCAACCGCUCCCCAUACUAGUGGGCAUUUUACGGAGUUUCCAAAUUUUUACUCUUCCAUAAAAAUCUGCAGCAAACACUUUUGUAAAUGUGCCUUUGUGUGUGGGGGUGUUGGAGGAGUUUUCUUUAGAUUAUCCCUACAAUCGAUAGUGCUGGGUCAAAGCAUGCAUUUUACUUUGCAGGUAAUAUGAUGUUAAAUUCUGCCUAAUUGCUCUCCAAAAAACUGUGCCAAUUAGCAUUCUUAAUGAUGAAUGAGCGUGCUUGCUUUCCAUCUCUUUUAUUUCCCCCAGUUUUUUAAGGGAGAUAUUUUUGUUUUAGGAAUGGACAGCCCAUAGCUGGGUAGCAGGACUUAAAGAGUCUCUGUCUUUUCCUUUUCCCUAAUGACAGUGAGCACUUUUCAUGUGCAUAUUGGCACGUGAAGUUUCUGUUCAAGUAUUUCACCUUUUAAGAAGGUGGGGCUUUGUGCCUUUUGCAUUUUGGCGUAUGGUCCAUUUCAAAUUCAUUUUUACAUAUGCAGUGAGGCAGAGGUGGAGAUUCUUUUAUAUUUUUUUCCUGUAUGGCUGUUCAUUUGUUCCAGCAUCAUUUGUUAAAAAUUCUCUUUCUUUUGCAUUGACUUGGCACCUUUGUUGAAAAUGAGUGGAUUGAAUAUGUGUAAGUCUUGCUGGACUCUAUUCUGGUCCAUUGAUUAGCCUCUCCUUACUUUGAGUCUUUGUCUUUUAAUUGGAGAUUACUGAUGUAGUUUGUUGACUCCCUUCCAUUGUCCGAAUUUUAAAAUCAGGCCCAGUCUUUCCUGGUGACAGCAAGGGAUAAGAAAAGCAAAUAAGAGAACUGUCUGACUGCUAGAAAGCCAGUUCACAAACACAUCAGGAGACUGAGCCCAGAUUUUUACUUGUGCUGGUGUUGCCUGCCACUGAUCAGUGGCCAUCAGGUAACAGAAUUAGGCAACCUGGCUUUACCAGCAUUUGCUACCUAAGUUAUGACCGUGUCAGUGAAAGAUAAACAGGGCUACAACCUCAGCCCAAUUCCAAGCCCAUCUCCCACUCCUAUCCUUUGCUAACAGCACAAAAACCUCCCAAACUAUGCCCCAGACCCUCUGCCCAAGUGGAUAGACCCAUAUACAGUUCUGCCUAUAAUCACUGUUUAUUCUCUCCACUUUAUUGGCAUGUGACUUCUGUAAUUGUAGUAUCAUUAACAAGAAGAGGAGACCCUCUGUAUCAGUUUGCUAGGGCUGCCCUAACAAACUUACCAUAGACUGAGGGGCUUAAACAACAGAUAUUUAUGUUUUCAUGGCUCUGGAGUCUGAGAUCAAGGUGCUGGCAGAGUUGGUUUCUUCUGAGAGUCCUGUCUCCUUGCAUCUUCACAUGGUCUUCCUUUUCUUACAAGGACACCAGCUAUAUUGGAUUAGGGUUACCUUAAUGACCUCAUUUUAACUUAUUCACCCCUUUAAAGACCCCCAUCUCCAAAUACAGCCACAUUCUGAGGUCCUGGGCU